GACAGAGGGUGCAAACGUUGUUCGGAAUUACUGGGCGUAAAGGGCGCGUAGGCGGAUAUCUAAGUUGGGGGUGAAAUCCCGGGGCUCAACCUCGGAAUUGCCUUCAAAACUGGAUAUCUUGAGUUCGGGAGAGGUGAGUGGAACUCCGAGUGUAGAGGUGAAAUUCGUAGAUAUUCGGAAGAACACCAGUGGCGAAGGCGACUCACUGGCCCGAUACUGACGCUGAGGCGCGAAAGCGUGGGGAGCAAACAGG
Molecule: ribosomal RNA, 253 nt
Filed under: uncultured bacterium
Lineage: Bacteria
Description: partial 16S ribosomal RNA
Rfam family: Bacterial small subunit ribosomal RNA
Source: RNAcentral